GGCCUGCUAGCUCAGUCGGUUAGACCGUCGUGCUAAUAACGCGAAGGUCGUAGGUUCGAUCGCUGCGCAGGCCA
RNAcentral lists this transfer RNA (74 nucleotides) under Dermacentor andersoni. RNAcentral's name for it is "transfer RNA isoleucine (anticodon AAU)". It matches the Rfam family "tRNA". From Rfam's summary of the family: Transfer RNA (tRNA) molecules are approximately 80 nucleotides in length. Lineage: Eukaryota; Metazoa; Arthropoda; Arachnida; Ixodida; Ixodidae. The record is from RNAcentral.